CCCCAACCCCGGGCGAGCAGGAGGUGAGCUGCUAGCGAGCCGACGUUCCGGUUUCCAGCUCCCCCCUCGCCCCGAGCUCCUCCUGGGGUCAGCGCAGCGGCCAGGGAUCCCAGAGCGGCGCGGACCCCACUGUGGACUACACAUGCCAGGGACCUAGGGUGCCCGCUUUUGAAUCAUCCCCCAAGCAUCCUUCACCCUACAUUCCGUGGAGAAACUGUCUCAAAAAGAUCAGAUCGGGGGCCCCGGGCGUGGCGGCGCGCGCCUGCAGGAGGAUCACGGCGAGUUUAAAGCCAGCAGCCUGGGCUACACAGUGAGUUCAAGGGUCUUGAUACAUAGUCCACACUGGCCUCAAACUCACUAUGUAGUCCAGACUGGCCUGAAAUUCUGGAUCCUCCUGCUUCAGCCUCCUGAGUGCUGGGAUUACAGGGUCGCACUAAGCAGUUCAGGCUAGCCUUGAACUCACUACGUAAUGAACUUGUGAAGAUUCUCCUGCCUCAGCCUCCCGAGUGUUGGGAUUUCAGAGAUGUACCACCCCGCGUGGCUUCUGGGAGCAUACAGAAAAGAGCAAAGAAUUCUGAGGGCCACCGCAUAGACCAUG
This is a long non-coding RNA of Heterocephalus glaber (naked mole-rat), 598 nucleotides long. Lineage: Eukaryota; Metazoa; Chordata; Mammalia; Rodentia; Bathyergidae. The record is from Ensembl.